RNAcentral lists this long non-coding RNA (294 nucleotides) under Trifolium pratense (red clover). RNAcentral's name for it is "long non-coding RNA (TPRA_LNC011833)". Lineage: Eukaryota; Viridiplantae; Streptophyta; Magnoliopsida; Fabales; Fabaceae. The record is from RNAcentral.
UGCGCCUAACAGGUGUACAAAAUGUGGAAAUCCUGGUCAUAAUACCAGGGGGUUGCAAGAGCACAGAAGUGAACUCAGAUGCACAACGCAGACAGGUAUAAGGUUAUUUACUAGCUUUUAUUUCACCGAGUAUAACUUCACAUAAUGCUAGGUCUGACUGUAUUUUUUUUAUGACAGAGAAAACCAAAGAAAAAUGUUGAAAAUGCAUCUGCAUCUAAUGGAUUUGUUAGUGCAUCUACUGCAGUUGGUACUGCAUCUAAUGCAGCUGAAACUGCAUCUACCGCAGUUAGUACU